RNAcentral lists this ribosomal RNA (528 nucleotides) under uncultured bacterium. RNAcentral describes it as "partial 16S ribosomal RNA". It matches the Rfam family "Bacterial small subunit ribosomal RNA", at positions 355 to 874 of the family's 1533-position model. The record is from RNAcentral.
UGGGGAAUUUUGGACAAUGGGCGAAAGCCUGAUCCAGCAAUGCCGCGUGUGUGAAGAAGGCCUUCGGGUUGUAAAGCACUUUUGUCCGGAAAGAAAUCCUUGGCUCUAAUACAGUCGGGGGAUGACGGUACCGGAAGAAUAAGCACCGGCUAACUACGUGCCAGCAGCCGCGGUAAUACGUAGGGUGCAAGCGUUAAUCGGAAUUACUGGGCGUAAAGCGUGCGCAGGCGGUUUGCUAAGACCGAUGUGAAAUCCCCGGGCUCAACCUGGGAACUGCAUUGGUGACUGGCAGGCUAGAGUAUGGCAGAGGGGGGUAGAAUUCCACGUGUAGCAGUGAAAUGCGUAGAGAUGUGGAGGAAUACCGAUGGCGAAGGCAGCCCCCCUGGGCCAAUACUGACGCUCAUGCACGAAAGCGUGGGGAGCAAACAGGAUUAGAUACCCCUGGUAGUCCACGCCCUAAACGAUGUCAACUAGUUGUUGGGGAUUCAUUUCCUUAGUAACGUAGCUAACGCGUGAAGUUGACCGCCU